Molecule: non-coding RNA, 179 nt
Organism: Callorhinus ursinus (northern fur seal)
Lineage: Eukaryota; Metazoa; Chordata; Mammalia; Carnivora; Otariidae
Source: RefSeq, a predicted model, not a curated record
CUUCUAGAUGAGCAAGAGAUAGUACAAAAACGUACUUUCACAAAAUGGAUCAACUCUCAUCUGGCCAAGCGGAAACCCCCACUGGUGGUAGAUGAUCUUUUUGAGGACAUAAAAGAUGGUGUUAAGCUGCUUGCUCUUCUGGAGGUCCUGUCUGGGCAGAAACUGCCAUGUUGAACAAG